This 979-nucleotide ribosomal RNA is filed under the name human gut metagenome. RNAcentral's name for it is "bacterial LSU rRNA". It matches the Rfam family "Bacterial large subunit ribosomal RNA", at positions 1945 to 2925 of the family's 2925-position model. The record is from RNAcentral.
ACGGUCCUAAGGUAGCGAAAUUCCUUGUCGGGUAAGUUCCGACCCGCACGAAAGGUGUAACGAUUUGGGCACUGUCUCAACGAGGGACCCGGUGAAAUUGAAAUACCUGUGAAGAUGCAGGUUACCCGCGACUGGACAGAAAGACCCCAUGGAGCUUUACUGUAACCUGACAUUGGGUUUUGUUGUAUUACGUACAGGAUAGGUGGGAGGCUUGGAAGGCUGGACGCUAGUCUGGCUGGAGCCGGCGUUGGGAUACCACCCUUGAUACAACGGAAUUCUAACCGAGAGAGUAACGAAAUCCGGGACAGUGUCAGGCGGGCAGUUUGACUGGGGCGGUCGCCUCCGAAAGAGUAACGGAGGCGCCCAAAGGUUCCCUCAGCGCGGCCGGAAAUCGCGCGAAGAGUGUAAAGGCAGAAGGGAGCUUGACUGCGAGCCAAACACGGCGAGCAGGUACGAAAGUAGGGCUUAGUGAUCCGGUGGUACCGAGUGGAAGGGCCAUCGCUCAACGGAUAAAAGCUACCCUGGGGAUAACAGGCUAAUCUCUCCCAAGAGUCCAUAUCGACGGGGAGGUUUGGCACCUCGAUGUCGGCUCAUCACAUCCUGGGGCUGAAGUCGGUCCCAAGGGUUGGGCUGUUCGCCCAUUAAAGUGGUACGUGAGCUGGGUUCAGAACGUCGUGAGACAGUUCGGUCCCUAUCCAUCGCGGGCGCAAGAGAUUUGAAGGGGUCUGCUCCUAGUACGAGAGGACCGGAGUGGACGGACCGCUGGUGUACCAGUUAUUCCGCCAGGAGUACAGCUGGGUAGCUACGUCCGGACUGGAUAAACGCUGAAAGCAUCUAAGCGUGAAGCCAUCCUUAAGAUGAGAUCUCUCACAGAGAAAUCUGGUAAGACACCUUAAAGAAGAUGAGGUAGAUAGGCCGGGAGUGUAAGUGCAGCAAUGUAUUGAGCUGACCGGUACUAAUAUGUCGAGGGCUUGACUUC